This 72-nucleotide transfer RNA is filed under the name Camelus ferus (Wild Bactrian camel). It matches the Rfam family "tRNA". From Rfam's summary of the family: Transfer RNA (tRNA) molecules are approximately 80 nucleotides in length. Their secondary structure includes four short double-helical elements and three loops (D, anti-codon, and T loops). Further hydrogen bonds mediate the characteristic L-shaped molecular structure. tRNAs have two regions of fundamental functional importance: the anti-codon, which is responsible for specific mRNA codon recognition, and the 3' end, to which the tRNAs corresponding amino acid is attached (by aminoacyl-tRNA synthetases). tRNAs cope with the degeneracy of the genetic code in two manners: having more than one tRNA (with a specific anti-codon) for a particular amino acid; and 'wobble' base-pairing, i.e. permitting non-standard base-pairing at the 3rd anti-codon position. Lineage: Eukaryota; Metazoa; Chordata; Mammalia; Artiodactyla; Camelidae. The record is from Rfam by way of RNAcentral.
GAGAGUAUAGCUGAGUGGUAGAGCACAUGCUUAGCAUGCAUGAGGUCCUAGGUUCGAUCCCCAGCACUCCCA